Molecule: ribosomal RNA, 540 nt
Filed under: Acidovorax sp. enrichment culture
Lineage: Bacteria; Pseudomonadati; Pseudomonadota; Betaproteobacteria; Burkholderiales; Comamonadaceae
Description: bacterial SSU rRNA
Rfam family: Bacterial small subunit ribosomal RNA
Source: RNAcentral
GGCGCAAGCCUGAUCCAGCCAUGCCGCGUGCAGGAUGAAGGCCUUCGGGUUGUAAACUGCUUUUGUACGGAACGAAAAGACUCUGGUUAAUACCUGGGGUCCAUGACGGUACCGUAAGAAUAAGCACCGGCUAACUACGUGCCAGCAGCCGCGGUAAUACGUAGGGUGCGAGCGUUAAUCGGAAUUACUGGGCGUAAAGCGUGCGCAGGCGGUUAUGUAAGACAGAUGUGAAAUCCCCGGGCUCAACCUGGGAACUGCAUUUGUGACUGCAUAGCUGGAAUACGGCAGAGGGGGAUGGAAUUCCGCGUGUAGCACUGAAAUGCGUAGAUAUGCGAAGGAACACCGAUGGCGAAGGCAAUCCCCUGGGCCUGUACUGACGCUCAUGCACGAAAGCGUGGGGAGCAAACAGGAUUAGAUACCCUGGUAGUCCACGCCCUAAACGAUGUCAACUGGUUGUUGGGUCUUCACUGACUCAUUAACGAAGCUAACGCGUGAAGUUGACCGCCUGGGGAGUACGGCCGCAAGGUUGAAACUCAUAGG